Caenorhabditis elegans is the source of this 21-nucleotide non-coding RNA. Lineage: Eukaryota; Metazoa; Nematoda; Chromadorea; Rhabditida; Rhabditidae. The record is from Ensembl.
UACCAGAUCUUGAACGUUUCU